AGAAUCAACGCUGGCGGCGUGCCUAACACAUGCAAGUCGAACGAGAAAGUGGAGCAAUCCAUGAGUAAAGUGGCGACCGGGUGAGUAACACGUGACUAACCUACCUUCGAGUGGGGGAUAACCUCGGGAAACCGGGGCUAAUACCGCAUAAAAUCUUUGGAUCGGAAGAACUGGAGAUCAAUGGAGCAAUUCGCUUGAAGAGGGGGUCGCGGCUGAUUAGCUAGUUGGCGGGGUAAUGGCCCACCAAGGCUUUGAUCGGUAGCCGGCCUGAGAGGGCGCACGGCCACACUGGAACUGAAACACGGUCCAGACUCCUACGGGAGGCAGCAGUGGGGAAUUUUGCGCAAUGGGGGAAACCCUGACGCAGCAACGCCGCGUGGAGGAUGAAGUCCCUUGGGACGUAAACUCCUUUCGACCCGGACGAUAAUGACGGUACGGGUGGAAGAGCCCGGCUAACUUCGUGCCAGCAGCCGC
This 474-nucleotide ribosomal RNA is filed under the name uncultured bacterium. RNAcentral describes it as "SSU rRNA". It matches the Rfam family "Bacterial small subunit ribosomal RNA", at positions 26 to 518 of the family's 1533-position model. The record is from RNAcentral.